UGGGGAAUAUUGCACAAUGGGCGCAAGCCUGAUGCAGCCAUGCCGCGUGUAUGAAGAAGGCCUUCGGGUUGUAAAGUACUUUCAGCGGGGAGGAAGGGAGUAAAGUUAAUACCUUUGCUCAUUGACGUUACCCGCAGAAGAAGCACCGGCUAACUCCGUGCCAGCAGCCGCGGUAAUACGGAGGGUGCAAGCGUUAAUCGGAAUUACUGGGCGUAAAGCGCACGCAGGCGGUUGAUUGAGUCAGAUGUGAAAUCCCCGGGCUUAACCCGGGAAUUGCAUCUGAUACUGGUCAGCUAGAGUCUUGUAGAGGGGGGUAGAAUUCCAUGUGUAGCGGUGAAAUGCGUAGAGAUGUGGAGGAAUACCGGUGGCGAAGGCGGCCCCCUGGACAAAGACUGACGCUCAGGUGAGAAAGCGUGGGGAGCAAACAGG
RNAcentral lists this ribosomal RNA (429 nucleotides) under Chloroflexota bacterium. RNAcentral describes it as "Chloroflexi bacterium partial 16S ribosomal RNA". It matches the Rfam family "Bacterial small subunit ribosomal RNA", at positions 355 to 776 of the family's 1533-position model. The record is from RNAcentral. Lineage: Bacteria; Bacillati; Chloroflexota.